GUGGGGAAUAUUGGACAAUGGGCGAAAGCCUGAUCCAGCCAUGCCGCGUGUGAAGAAGGUCUUCGGAUUGUAAAGCACUUUAAGUUGGGAGGAAGGGCAGUAAGUUAAUACCUUGCUGUUUUGACGUUACCGACAGAAUAAGCACCGGCUAACUUCGUGCCAGCAGCCGCGGUAAUACGAAGGGUGCAAGCGUUAAUCGGAAUUACUGGGCGUAAAGCGCGCGUAGGUGGUUUUGUAAGUUGGAGGUGAAAUCCCCGGGCUCAACCUGGGAACUGCCUCCAAAACUGCAUGACUAGAGUACGGUAGAGGGUAGUGGAAUUUCCUGUGUAGCGGUGAAAUGCGUAGAUAUAGGAAGGAACACCAGUGGCGAAGGCGACUACCUGGACUGAUACUGACACUGAGGUGCGAAAGCGUGGGGAGCAAACAGGAUUAGAAACCCCUGUAGUCC
This 448-nucleotide ribosomal RNA is filed under the name uncultured bacterium. Its description in RNAcentral is "partial 16S ribosomal RNA". It matches the Rfam family "Bacterial small subunit ribosomal RNA", at positions 354 to 796 of the family's 1533-position model. The record is from RNAcentral.